GGCCCGAUAGCUCAGUGGAUAGAGCAACUGCCUUCUAAGCCGUAGGCCGAGAGUUCGAAUCUCCCUCGGGUCACCA
Molecule: transfer RNA, 76 nt
Filed under: Firmicutes bacterium CAG:449
Lineage: Bacteria; Bacillati; Bacillota
Description: transfer RNA-Arg(TCT)
Rfam family: tRNA
About the family: Transfer RNA (tRNA) molecules are approximately 80 nucleotides in length.
Source: RNAcentral